AUUGUGUCCUUUACUUUGUACAUACCCAAUUAUAAUAUUUUAUUUUGCUAAUACAAUGUAGCCUUCAAUUUAAACCAAGGUUUGCAUCCAUUAAUUAUGUUAGGUUCAUAUGACUUCACUACAUAAAUAGGUAGAUAAUGCAUAAGACUGAGAUUGUAGCUAGGGAUGAAAAUCUAAAUACGGCAUGAAUCUAACAAUUAUGAGUAAUGUCUUUGUGACAAGAACUUUCUUUGUCUUUUAUUCCCAUGUUUGAACUAGUAUAGGUCAGGGUUACACAUUAUGGUGCACAUCACUUUAUUUGUCAUCGUUACAUUGAACACUCAUUGACUAAACAACGAUGAUCCAUCCGUCUUGUAUUACAGGUCUUCAUUUCAUUGGCCACCGAUGCUUGUAAGACUACUCCCAGAUGGUUGUUGUUGUGGAUAUGGUUGUUGAGGUUGGUGUGGUUGCUGGGGGAAUGGUUGUUGGGGUUGCUGGGAAAUUGUUUGUUCUAGUUGCUGGGAUAAUUGUUGUUGGGGCUGCAGAAAUGGUUGUUGUGGUUGUUGUGGUUGCAGGAUGGAGGGUUGCUGGGAAAAUGGUUGUUGCGGUCGUAGGGGGAAUGGUUGUUGUGGUUGUAGAGGGAAAGGUUGUUGUGGUUGUUGAGGGAAUGGUUGUUGUGGUUGUUGGGGGAAUGAUUGUUGUGGUUGCAGGGGGAAUGGUUGUUGUGGUUGCUGGGGGAANNNNNNNNNNNNNNNNNNNNNNNNNNNNNNNNNNNNNNNNNNNNNNNNNNNNNNNNNNNNNNNNNNNNNNNNNNNNNNNNNNNNNNNNNNNNNNNNNNNNNNNNNNNNNNNNNNNNNNNNNNNNNNNNNNNNNNNNNNNNNNNNNNNNNNNNNNNNNNNNNNNNNNNNNNNNNNNNNNNNNNNNNNNNNNNNNNNNNNNNNNNNNNNNNNNNNNNNNNNNNNNNNNNNNNNNNNNNNNNNNNNNNNNNNNNNNNNNNNNNNNNNNNNNNNNNNNNNNNNNNNNNNNNNNNNNNNNNNNNNNNNNNNNNNNNNNNNNNNNNNNNNNNNNNNNNNNNNNNNNNNNNNNNNNNNNNNNNNNNNNNNNNNNNNNNNNNNNNNNNNNNNNNNNNNNNNNNNNNNNNNNNNNNNNNNNNNNNNNNUGGUUGCAGAGGGAACGAUUGUUGGGUCUGGGGAAAUGGUUGUUGUGGUUGCCAGGAAAAUGGUUGUUGGGGCUGUGGAAAAGGUUGUUGUGGUUGUUGGGGUUGCUGGGGGAAUGGUUGUUGUGGUUGUAAGGGGGUCGGUUGUUGGGGUUGGGGAAAUAAUUGUUGUGAUUGCUGGGGAAAUUGUUGUUGGGGUGUGGAAAAUGGUUGUUGUGAUGGAUAUGGUUGCUGUGAUGGAUAUGGUUGUUGUGGAUAUGGCUGUUGUGGAAAUAGUUUUUGUUGAUGGGAAAAUGAUUGUUGAGGUGAUUGUAACUCUUUGUUGUUAGGGUUUAGUUGCCUAGCGGCAAUGGCGGUGUUCAUCGCCAUGGCAAGGAGGACAAAGAUGAGGAAGGUCUUCAUGUUGGAUUUGUGGUUACUACUGCUUGCUUGCCUUUGAUGCUUGUGGUCUAGGUGUGUGAAGUUUUGUUGAUGGAAGGUGUCCUUGGUGGUGCAUGUGUAUUUAUAGUUUUCAUGGCAUGGCUUGCUUUCAUCUUUGCACUCGCUCUUUGAAAAAGUGCAUCAAUGCUUAUCCAACUAAUCAUUUGGUUUGUUGUGUUUGGUGCAACUACUUACUAGUGAGAUUUUGGAUUUUCAUGAUAGUUGUUUUUUGUUGAAAUCAUCUGGUUGUAAGGAAUGUUGGAUAAUGACCAAUGACUCAUCUUCUUCACUUUACACUGCAAACAUUGAUCUAGAUUAUGUCCCUUUUUGAAAUUUAGUUUGUGGAGCUCUACAUGUUGUUAGGCUUAUCCAUAUUGGCAUAGCUUGAGUGGAGCUAAGUUUGUAAGCUUGUGUGCGCCAUUAUGAUGGAUCACACUAUUAAUGUGAUGAUUGUUUUACAAAUUAUCUUUCCAAAACUAACUUUAUGUUUUUUGCCCAAUAUGAUUCUAAGACGGAUAACCAGACAUGACUCAUCAAAUAACAAGAUAAACCGAGUAGCAAGUUGGGGGUUAUAAGUUAUAAUAUGGACUUUUCUCUAAGAUACACCAUCUUGUCUUGCAUGCUCUGUGGAUUUGAAAAGCAUCUACUAAUUUAGAUGCAAUUGAAACAAAAGUAGACUAAAAAGGUAAGCAAUGAAAUGAGAAUACUAUUAUGUGAAGCUCUACAUGUCUGGUAAGCAGUGAGAUACUGGAUACAUCUAUAUCUUCAAUCCUUUCAUCCCUAUCAACUCUUUAUUGGCUGCUUUUAUCGUAGUCAUCCCUUAAAUAAAAAUCACUUAAAUAUAAGUUUGGGAGUUAGUACCAACAUAUAUCAUGUACAAGAUAGAAAACUAAGGCACAUAUAGUAGUCUAUUGACCAUAUUUAAUUUCUUGUGAUGUGAAAGCAUGUGGAGUAUAAGUUGGUUAAAUAUAAAGUUGUCCUUCAUACCAGUAGGGAAAGAAUAUGCAGUAUAAAGAUUAGAGCAUUGGACUAAUAUGCUAUUAAAUGCUACAGGAUAAUUGACAGUUCAAGUUAAGAACAACAUUAGCAUUCCAACUUUUGUCUUGUGCAAGUUAAGAACAUGCUAACAAAGUAACCUAAGCAAAUAAGUGCAAAACCUUCACCUAUAAGGAAAUUGUGAAACUACACAAAAUGACCUAUUGUAAAGAAGGAAAAAAAUCUAAAGGUGAAUGAAAGAACGUUAAGUACAUUCAGGAUUCGAUUAUGCCUUCAUGGAUAACCUUUUAGAUGGUGACAUGUCCAUGUUGAUGUGUGUCGGCAUGGAACGAGGACAAGAAGACGUCGUUGCGUCGUACUUUGGGAAUUUCAUCAAACUGGUUGUGUGCGGGAACAAAUAUUUGUCGCCUCCCUGCUCAAAUCUCUCUUCAUGUCACUGAAUCCGACACUCCACCUACCAAAAUCAGCUGCAAGCCAGGGAUAAUCAACGGGUUUCUCCGCCCGUAGCAUCUAUCACCAAAAGUAGUUCAGACUAUAGUCUUGUAGUUCAAAAUUUUGUAAUAACAAGCACUACUAGGUUGCUUUUGUUUGUACGUCUUCAUUCUGUACAACCCAUGGAACUAAAAAUGCAUUGGUCAUUCUUUGUUCUAUACAACCAAUUCAACCAAAAAUGCAUUGGGCUUUUCUUUGUACAUCUUCGGGUUCUACAACCAAUGCAACAAAAAAUCCAUUGGGUAGUCUUCCAUUCUAGUCGGGCACCAACAGUUAAAUGAGGAGCUAAACAAUGUUGGAGUCUAAAACUACAUACAAUCAUGAAGCAUAGAGAGGCGACUUGGAAGCUGUGCUCCUGUGAGCUCGUAUUUUUGUAGACAAAAAGUAAUGUUUGUAUUUUGAAGUGGGAAAAAAUCCUAAAAAGGGAUGUUUUGCGGGUUAUAACUUACUAUUUUUGGGUCCUGGGCUGCAGGAAGGUCGUCAAAAUCAAUGUGUUUUCCCAUUCAAUGCAUGUUUCUUGGGUUAUAGGUCACGCUUUUGGUGUCCUAGGGAGAUCACUUCCCCGGUCAAGAACAUUAGGUGAUGAUUUUUAGAAAAACUCAUUGUUUUAGCCUAACUAGUUUCGAGGAUUGGUGGACGGGAUUAUCAUGGAACAAAGUGACAACCUUCCUUUUCUUCAUGCCUAAUAUAAACUUAGCAGUCAGCUAAAAGUAACUAGCGAUAUCACAGAAUGUUUUUUGUCAAAAGUAGAUACCACUUCAGGAUUCAACUCGGUUAGUUCAAUCACAGACAUGUUAAGAGCAGGAUUUACAACUAACUGCAUAGGGAACAUCUCCUUUUAUCACCCACUAUCUGUCUGUGCACUUUGGUUUUCCCGUAGCAUCACACAAAGCACUUUGUUAGUACCAAUAAUGUGCUCCAACUCUACACAUUAAUCAUCUUGAAUUCUUCUACUGAUGUCGAACAAUGUAAUAUCUUGAAUUCUUCUAACGAGUUCGGAUUAGACUACAUGGGCAAUUUAUCUGGUCCCUGAGAUGCAAGGUCGAUGAACAAUCGCUUCGUCUUAUGACGAGGGGUUGUUUUUGCCUAAGAAACUAAUACAUGUAACUUCGACACCGGAUUAAUAAAUGGUAAAACCUAAAUAAAUUAGAUCACGAGCUAAACCAUUUACUUUUGUAUGCAUUUAAACUUUUGAUACAUAUGAGCUUGUUAAGAUGUUCGCAUAAACACCAUGGUGAUUUGAAGCAAGACAAAGUAAACUUGAACCGCUUGAGCCACUGACUUAAUAAGAACCUCCUUUCCCGCGGCAGAGAUUGUUUUUAAUACAUCCACUCACUUUGGCCCAUAGUUUGUCUUUGAGAUACUUAAAAGCACUAGACAUAGAAUUGACAAUAUUAGAAGGCAAGCCCAAAUAUUUCACAUUUAGUGUUUCUACUUGGACACUGAGACCACCUUUGACCUCAUUUUUGACAUUCUCUCUGCAAUCCUUGCUGAGAAACACUGAAGGCUUCCUAUUUAUUUAUUCUUGACCUAAAGCUUCAUUGCGUCUUGCCUUGGUCUUGCACUACUUGCGGCACAAUACGCCUUUGGAACUGCCGUUCCGAAUUCAGAGUGCCGAAGGUGGUGUGACGAUGUUGAGAUACCGUACUCGUUCGGUAGUGAUUCGGGUUGAUCAUUCAGAGUAGACUUUGACAAUAGCUGCAAGGACAAGAUUGCAUUAGGGAGCCUUUUAAUUACACCUCGGAGGUGCUCAGCAUCUUCUUGAUGAACAACAUGGUCCUAGUGUUGAAUAAUAUCAUAUGGGGUAGUGCUACAACAACUCCACCACAAGCAUGGAGGAAUUUAGCAAAUUCCAUCAGUACUAGGAGAAAGCCUAGUAGCAACGCGAGGUAAAGGACUACUAGUAGCGCGGGUGCCCACGCUACUACUAGGGUGCUACAGCUAAUUGGUAGUAGUAGCGUGGGUGACACCCUGCGCUACUACCACGUCUGUUAGUAUAGUAGCGCGAGUGUCACCCGCACUACUACUAGUUAUCUGUAGCCCGGGUCUGACCCCACGCUACUACUAACUAAUUAGGAAUUAAAAAAAUAAAUUCCAUCCAUGGUUGCUGCUGCUGGGCGUCAUCGUCCUCUCCGUCCAUGGCUGAUGUUGGUCCUGGAGGGGAUGACGUCGUCCAUGGUGAUGGUACUUCCUCACCCAAAUCGUCCCCACACCUCUCCUAUGCUACUGCUACAAAAUAAGAGAAAACGAUUAGAAGAGGAAGAGAGAUAUUGAGAGGAGUAGGAGGAGCAACUGACCGGUGGCCGCCGGAGUUGGAGCUGAUGCCCGAAACCCUAGACGAUGCCCGGUGACCUGUUGCUUCUUUUCCUGGGACCUCAUGUCCUCACAAGGCCAUGUCUCAGCGAGGAAGUGCAAGUGGUUGCGUAGCAGAUCUGUUCAUCGCCAUUGGUGGCGCUCUGUUGGAUCUUCCUCUCCUUCCAGCAUCGGAGAAGGAGGAGGAAGGAGGCGAAGGUGAGGCGUAAGUCAGUGGCCCAAAAUUUUUAUAUAGAUGAGACUUACUAAGUAAUAACCCCAUAGAAUCUAUCUAUAUAAAGAUAAAGAGGCAAUCGUGUCAGGAAGCGGGUUUUUCUUUGGCCAAAAGGUACUUAGAACUUGGAACGAGCAUGAAGAGAUUAACGAGACUUCUUUCUCUUUUGAGUUUUUCUGGCGGACCUGCCGCGCAAGAUCUUUGGUCUUCCCCUGGAACCGAUGAAAAAAAGUGGAUUGCUUCUUAUGUACUCGCUCAGCUUAAGAUGCUCGCAUAAUCCCCGUGGUAAUUUGAAGCAAUACAUAGAGUAAACUAGAACUGCUUGAGCCACUAACUUAAUGAGAACCUCCUUUCCCGUAGGAUAUAUCAUUUUUUCAAUCCAUCCAUUCACUUUGGCCCAUAGUAUGUCUUUGAGAUACUUAAAAGCAGUAGAUUAGAAUUACCAAUAUCAUAAGGCAAGCCCAAAUAUUUCUCAUUUAGUGUUUCUGUUGGACACUGAGAACACCUUUGACCUCAUAUCUAACAUUCUCUACACAACCCUUGCUGAGAAACACUGAAGACUUGCUAUUAUUUAUUCUUUGACCUGAAACUUGGCAAUAGGUUUGACACAUCUGUCGCCCCUGAACCAUUUGCCUUGAAAAACAGCAGGCUGUCAUCUGCAAAUAACAAGUGGUUAACUGAUGCCACCAAAGGAGCUACUUGGAUUCCAGUAAACUGGGAUGACUAGUCUCUAGAUUUGAGGAGGCCCGAAAGGCCAUGUACUGCUAACAGGAAAAUCAAGGUGAAUUGGAUCUUGCUGCCGUAUACCACGGGUAGGUUUGAGCUCAUCAAGUUUCUUGCUCUUGAAUAAAAUUGAAUAAGAUACAGAAGCUACCAUGCUCAUUUCUAUGGAGGCCCAUUUAACAGAGAAUCCAAAGUUGAGAUUUAUCACCUCCAAAUACGCCCAUUCAACUAGAUUAUAAGCCUUCAUCAUAUCCAAUUUUAGAGUACAAUGGUGAUGUUACAAUGACUUAUUCCUUUUCAUGAAAUGUAAGCACUCGUAGGCCACGAUUAUAUUGUCAGUGAUAAGGCGACCCGGAACAGAAGCCGACUCUUCACUCAAUAUUAUCUCCGGAAGGGCCCCUUUUAGCCGGUUAGCCAGAACUUUGGGUGUUAUUUGUAAAGUUGCAUAGGCUAAUACGACAGAACUGGCUUAGGAAAGUACCAUUUUGUACCUCAUCACUAUCCUCGCCACAAUACAAAGGACAACCAUUGUUACCUCCUCGCCGCAAAUAUCCCAAUGUUUCUCAAAGAAAUGUUCAAAGAAUCCGUCCGGGCCCAAGGCCUUCAUGCGGAACAUUUGAAACAAUACAAUUUAAACCUUGUUGUAGAAUACUUAGCGUCAAGGAAGGCAUUCAUCGCAUCACUGACCUUUACUGGAACCAAGUCAGGAAAUCAUGCAUAUUAGAAACAGUCUCAGAAGUGAAAAGCUCCGAGUAAAACUAUGUUGUGAUCUCUUCCAAUUCCUUAAGAACACUGAUAACAUCACAUUAGGUUGCUACAAUGAUUUGGUCAAAUUAUUCCGCCUUCUCAUCGAAGCCCUUAAGUGAAAGAAGCAUGUGGUCUUGUCCCCACUAAUCAGCCACUUAAUCUGAGAUCUAGUAGGCAAGAUGAGUGACGGGAAGUAGUUCGGAACAAUUUCCUCUUAUUCACUUCUAAAACAAAUUUUCGGUUUUUGUCGUUCCUAAGCCAAGGAUUUGAUAAAUAUUCAUAAAUUUUUAAAAUGUUCACCAAUAUUAAAAACAUCAUGAUUUUAAAAAACCGUGAUUUUUAAACAAAAUCAUAAAUAUGAAAAUUGCCAUUCACAAAAUUUUAAAAUAAAAUCAUGAAUUUUAAAAGAAUUUUCAAAAUUUUGAUAAAUAUCUACGAAUUUUACAACUUUGAUGAAUUUUAAAAACAAACCAUAACAAAAAAACACUAGCAAGUUCGAUCCUAAAAAAUGCCUUGCCUUCUACUAUGCGUAGCGUGCAUGGACAGCCGGACCUAGACACCCUAGACCAAAAACCCUACAUCUGGGCCAGGCCCGAGCUCCAUUUUUUGGCCCAAAGCCCAGCCCAAAAAGGCAGAAAUGGUAAGAAAUGUAUACUUUAUUCAAAAUAUAGGUAUAUUAUAUUGUUUUAGUAUCUCAAAUAAUUAUUUAAAUUGAAAAAUGUCGUUGUUCAUGUGUUUCUGGACGGGCCAAGCCAGGCUCAUGCUUGGGAUUUUUGCUUCGGGCUUUGACAACCUGGCCCGGGGUAUGAUCAAGUUCAGCAUGGCCCAGUCACACACCCUUGUACAACAUUUUGUUGUAGAGAGCGGCAAAUAUAAUUUUCCCGAUCUAAUAUUGCUCGCUAUAAGUCUAUAUCUAUACUUUUUUCUAUACCCAUACUAAUAAAGCAAGGUGCGUUUCCCCAAUUUUUUCAUUCAUUCACUGUCGAAAACAAUUAUGUUUCCUAUCCGAGGUGGUCCUAAAUUCUUAUGCGUUCAUCUGCUAAAAGAAAGGCUUUUCCGGAAUUUCUUACGUGGGUUGCGCGCUAUGGCCAGUGAAGUCAGCCCACUUAUUUUUCUGCCCAUGCAGCUCUAAAAAAUCUAUUUAACACACAGGGCAAGAAAUAGUCGGCACUUCAAACUGGAAAACAAAUAAUGGGCUAGCCAAUUUUUCUUUGUUUCUGUGUUUUAUUUCUAUUUUUAUUCUCCUUCCCCGAUUUCUUUUUUCACUUCCAAGUUUACAUUUCUUAUAGAAUUUAUUUUAUAAAUUCAAAAUUCUCAAAAAACAUAGAGAAUUUUAAAAAAAUGGAAAAUGUUCAUAACUCCAAUUUUUUUGCUAUUUAAAUUUUUUUCAGAACUUGAAUUUUUUCCCUUUUUCCGAAAAUUUUAUUGUUUUUUAAAAUUGUUAGAGAUUUCUAAAAAGAAAAUGGAAAUUUAAAAAGUCUUCCAAAUUCGAAAAAAAAUCAUGUUUUAGUGAAAUUUUCACAACUCAAAUUAUUCUUAAAAAAUACACAUUUUAAAAAGUAAGGAUUUUCAAUACAUGUUCCCGUUCUAAAAAAAUGUUGACAAAUUCAAAUAAUGUUCAUGUUUUUAUUUUAAAAGUUCGUGUUUUCAAAAAUGUUUGUAAAUUCUAAAAGAUGUUCCUAUUUCAUAUUUUGUUCAUGUUUUUCUGAAAGUGUACCUAAUUUUCAAAAAACUGUUCAGGAUUUAAAAAAUGGUUCAUGUUGCCUACAAUAUUGAGAAACUUCAUACCUUAAAAUCUCCUCGAUUGAAGGAACCAUAGAUUGAAUAAUUCAUGGGCCUUCUCUGGUGGACGAUGACGUAGCAAAACUCUUAAAUGCCCUCAAUCAAUGAAUGGAAAAAUAGCGAAUUGAGUACUUCACACCCAGCGAAACAAAGAAGCUAAAUGUUCCCUUUUUACGUGCGCACAGGGUUUUGCUUGCACAAAUAAUUCUCACUAACUUCCAAUGCAUACUAAUUUUUCUCCCAUUGCGAAGCACAAGCAUAUGUGCUAGUUUUAUCCACGGUGGUACUAAAUUUUUUUGAGUCCAUCUGCUAGAAAAAGGAAAAACAGUUUUGUCAAAAUUUUCGUACAUGGGCCGCGCGCGCUGUGGCCCAGCGAAGCUGGCCCAUUUAUUUCCGGCCGAAGCAGCUGAGAAUAAUUAUUUAACGCUUGGGGCGGCAAAUAGACAAAGUUUCGCAUAGGGCGCCAAAUAUUUGGUCGGCCCAUAUUUGUUUUCUCUCUAGUUUGUUUCUUUUUUUAUUUUCCUUUCUCCUUUUCUUAUCUCUUUACUUUUUCUUUUUUCCCUUUCAAGUUAAUUUUUCUUUUCUCCUUUUCCAUAAAUUAAAUUUUUCAAUAUUUCAGAAUUUUAGUUUUGGAUUAAAUUUUCGUAAAAUCUUCAUAAUUAUUUCUCCCCAUUUUGAAUUGUUUUUAAACUAUAAUUUUUUCUUCUUCUUCUUCCAAAAUUUAUUCAAAACUAUAGAAUAAAGUUCGCAUAUUAAUUUUUUUAUGCUUUCCAAAAUUGUUUGAUAUUUUCAAAAUAUAUUGCAUUAAAAAAUUAAAUAUUUAGAUUUUAUUGAAAUGUUAAUUCAAAGUAAUGUUUGUGUUUAAAAACAUGUUUUUCAAAAUUCUUUUCAAUGUCCAAAACACGUUUUCAUUUCCAAAAAAAAUCACGUAUUCAAAACAUGUUUGCUUUCUUAUAAUAGGUUCAUGUUUUCAAAAAACAUAAAUUUCAAAAAAAUUGUCACAUCUUAAAGAAUAUUCAAAAUAUCGUAAUUAUUACUUUAUUUUUUGAAAAAAAUCAAGAAAAACAGAAAAAAAAAUGUAUAUUAUGCUACAGUAUAUUCUUAAAAUUUCGCCCUCGCCAUUUGUUAGCAUGAGCUGUUUGUUCGAGUGGCUAGCAGCACGUGGUCGAGUUUUUGAGGUCAUGAGUUUGAUCCUUCAACUCAGUGGUUGUUUUGGAUUUUUAUUCACGCCUUACAAAUACAAGUCAUUUUGGUACCUGCCAGCGGCCUUGCCAGACUCGAACUGCCGUGCAUCCGACGUGCUAUUUGACGAUAAAAGAGAAUAUGUUGCUUGACUAUAAUUAAAAAAAUGUGGGCACAUGCCAAUAAAAGAGGAUAUGCUGGUUUGACUCUGAUUAAAAAAAUGUUGGCAAGUGAGCGUCGAAAUAAUUAAAGAGAAUAAACCCUGGUAAAGUAGGGACUACCUGGUUACGUGCUUAUUAUACCAAAGAAACGGGAUUUCCUGCAAUUAGUACUUCAACCGGUUACACCAUCAUAGGAGAGAGUAGUCGAAGCAACUAUGCCACGAAGGUCGCCGUGCUGCACAAAAUGAGGAGGCAACCGCAACCUAGACACGGAGGCAGACUCGGAGAAAAAAAAGCGCAAGUUGGGUGGUGGCCACCACUCCAGCAACCCCAUCAAUAUCAAGAACUCGUGGGCCAAACAUGAUCUCAAGAACAUCGCCGGGGAGACCUUUUGAUGGACACAUCAAUUAUCUCUCCUGAUACUUCUCGUUAAAAAUAUCUUUCUAGUUCUAACGCACGGGCAUAUGUGCUAGUGAUAUAUAAAAUAUGUUGUGCCAAUGAGCACACGGGCUAGCGAGACUCGCCAUGCUUUCAUGUCAUACCGGAGUCCAAACACUCAACUGGAGGGUCCAACCUUAGCGACAGAGUCUUCUUUUGUUGGGAGAAUCUAUAUAUCCGCGAGUGUUAUAUCUCGCAUCUGGUUUACGCGCAGUGCACCUAACCACUAGGCUUUGCCUUACAUUCAUGACAGAGUAGUAAAGCUAGAUUGUUUAAGUCCACACGAGUCAAGGUUUUCAAUGUUUCUUCUCCAUUUUUUUUCAUUUUUUCAUUUUUGUUUUUAUAUUUAUUUCUGUCGGGUUUGUUUGAUCCCUUUCGAGGGCAUAAUAGAGGAACCACACCGUGGUGAUGUGGAUGGGUUUAUAGAUACCAUCACUGUAGGGGAAACGAGGAAGGUUUUCGAUGCACGAAUCACUAGCAUACAUUUUCAUGUUUUACGCUAAUUUGCAAUAUUUGCUAGUCGUUGCUUAAUUGGUUGCGGAAACUGUGGAAACCUUAGUGUUCCUGAUAUUAUUAUUUUGUUCCACGGUUUAUUCUGUGAUAACUCUAUUAGUAUGGGCGGUAUUAUUCCUAAAUGGUUAAGUCUGAACUGUACAAAGGGCCCCAUCUUUGGAGGCAUCUAUGCUUCACACCUAGCUGCGCAUUUUAACAUAGCUAUUAGGCAUUAUGAGAAGGAAGAAAAAUUGCUACCCCCUGUUUAUUUAGAUUAUAAUAGUAUGGUGGCACAUGAUUUUAUUGUUAAGAAUAAGGAAGGGGAGCUUAAAUACAAAUUGUUCUUUGAUAAACAUCAUCCUGAGACUAUUACCCUGCCUGCUCCUUCCUUGUUUGAUUUAUCUGCAGGCAAGUACCUCGUUCCAUUAGAGGCUAUUCACGCCUACCGAAACCCUACAUCAGCCAUAGAGCCAGAGUCGGAACCACAAGUUGAUUCUCCAUGACAGUCUAAUUACCAUUGGGAUCCAGAAAUGAUUGCCACCAGUGGCAAUCAGAGUCUUCUUCGCAGUACGACCCCAACUAUUACUAUGGAUAUCCGCCAGGCCAGCCGUGGCCAUAGACCAACUUAGGUCAAAAGCCUAAACUUGGGGGAGUACGUAUUUCCCGCCGACAUUACAUUCAUGUUCGCACACUCAUUGCUAGAUGUCGGUGCUCAUACUUUUUCAUUGUAUCAUCCAUACUAGUUCAUUUCCUUUUUAAGCUUUCUUCUUGUGUGUUUAAUAAACCUUAAGAAAAACCAAAAACAUUAGUUGUAGCUUUUAGCUAGUUUUAAUUUCCAUGCUCGUAGUAGUAAUUAAAAAGAAAACCCAAAAAAAAGAUUUCAUGUUCUUCUUUUGCUUGUUGGGAGCUUUCCCGUGUAAAUAGUUUUAUUUCUUUUCUUUUCUUUGGGGGUCGAUAGGAGAAGACCAUGAUUAAAUUGUUGAAGUGGCUCUUAUAUGUAUUUUUGUUGAUCUGACAAAAGAGCCCAUAUUGCCUCGACUUCUCCUGUUUAUUGAAUGCUUGCAGAUUCCAGCUUAGUCCAAUGCACGUGCACUAUUAUUAUUAUCCACAUCAUUCGGUCGUGCAAGUGAAAGGCAAUUAUGACGAUAUAUGAUGGACUGACUGAGAUGAGAAAAGCUGGUAUGAACUCAACCUGUCUUGUUUUUGUAAAUAUGAUUAGUUCAUCGUUCCUGAUUCAGCCUAUUAUGAAUAAACAUGUUUGCAAUGACAACUAGAGAUCAUAGUUUCUUGUGCCAUGCUUGAUUAGCUAGGAGCUUAUAAUGGUUUACCUUGCGUGCCAACAUGCUAUUAAAAUGGUUGUGAUGUGGUAUGAUAGGGUGGUAUCCUCCUCUGAACGAUUCGAGUGGCUUGACUUGGCACAUAUUCACGCAUGUAGUUGAAACAAAAUCAACAUAGCCUCUACGAUAUUUAUGUUCAUGGUGAAUUAUAUCCUACUCAUGCUUGCAUUCGGUGCUGAUUAAUUUUAAUGCAUGUUUAUGACUGUUGUCGCUCUCUAGCUGGUCGCUUCCCAGUCUUUUGCUAGCCUUCACCUAUACUAAGCGGGAAUACUACUUGUGCAUCCAAUCCCAUAAACCCCAAAGUUAUUCCAUAUGAGUCCACCAUACCUACCUAUUUACGGUAUCUACCUGCCGUUGCAAGUAAAUUUGUAUGUGCCAAACUCUAAACCUUCAAAUAAAUAUCAUGUUUUGUAUGCUCGAAUAGCUCAUGUAUCAACUAGGUUUGUCUGUAUCUUUCAUGUUAGGCGGGUUAUUCUCAAGAGGAGUGGACUCCGCUCCUCACUCGCGAGAAAAUGGCUGGUCACCCGGAUGCCUAGUCCCAUGCUUUAUGCAAAUCAAAUCAAAAUAAUUGCAAACAAAAUUGCCCCUGGGACUCUUGUUAGUUGGAGGCACUCGUUGUUUCGAGCAAGCCAUGGAUUGAUGCUUGUUGGUGGAGGGGGGGUAUAAAAUUUUCCAUUCUGUUUGGGAACCGCCUAUAAUGUGUGUAGCAUGGAAGAUAUCACCAUCUCUUGGUUGUUAUGUUGACAAUGAAAGUAUACCGCUCAAAAUAUUAUUUACCUCUAUUUCAAAAUCGAGCUCUGGCACCUCUACAAAUCCCUGCUUCCCUCUGCGAAGGGCCUAUCUAUUUACUUUUAUGUUGAGUCAUCAUCCUCUUAUUAAAAUGCACCAGUUGGAGAGCACCGUUGUCAUUUGCAUUCAUUACUAUUAUUUUACAUUGAAUAUGACUUGACUGGAUCUCUUUUACCAUGAAUUACAAUGUCUAGUCAGUCCUUGAUCUUUAAAGGUGCUCUACAUUUAUGUUUUGCGGUCUCAGAAAGGGCUAGCGAGAUACCAUCUUGUUAUAUCAUAUCAUGAUUGUUUUGAGAAAGUGUUGUCAUCCGAGAUUUAUUGUUAUUGCUCGCUAGUUGAUUAUGCCAUUGAUAUGAGUAAACAUGAUACAUAAAUGUUAUUGGAAUAUGGUUAGUUCAUAAUCUUUGCUGAAAACUUGAAUGCUGGCUCUACAUAUUUACAACAACAAGAGCAAACAGAGUUUGUAAAAGUUUUUCUUUAUCACUUUCAGUUUAUCAACUGAAUUGCUUGAGGACAAGCAAAGGUUUAAGCUUGAGGGAGUUGAUACGUCUCCGUCGUAUCUACUUUUCCAAACACUUUUGCCCUUGUUUUGGACUCUAACUUGCAUGAUUUGAAUGGAACUAACCCGGACUGACGUUGUUUUCAGCAGAAUUGCCAUGGUGUUAUUUUUGUGCAGAAAUAAAAGUUCUCGGAAUGACCUAAAAAUCAAAGGAGAAUUAUUUUGAAAUAUAUAAAAAAUAUUGGAAGGAAGAUCCACGUCAGGGGGGCCUCCACCUGUCCACGAGGGUGGAGAGCGUGCCCUACCCCCCUGGUGCUACCUCUUGAGCACUGCGUUGGUUUUCCCUUGAAGAGGAAAGGGUGAUGCAGUAAAGUAGUGUAAGUAUUUCCCUCAGUUUUUGAGAACCAAGGUAUCAAUCAAGUAGGAGAUCACGCUCGAGUCCCGCGCACCUACACAAACAAAUAAGAACCUCGCAACCAAUGCAAUAAAGGGGUUGUCAAUCCCUUCACGGUCACUUACGAGAGUGAGAUGUGAUAGAUAGGAUAAGAUAAUAUUUUUGGUAUUUUUAUGAUAAAGAGAAAUAAAGAUGCAAAGUAAAAUAAACAGCAAUAGAAAUAACUAAGUAUCACCUGGGCGCACCCCCCUGCCUCGUGGACCCCCUGACGCUCCACCGACCUCAACCCUGACUCCAUAUAUUCACUUUCGGGGAGAAAAAAACCAGAGAGAAAGAUUCAUCAUGUUUUACGAUAUGGAGCCGCCGCCAAGCCCUAAACUCUCUCGGGAGGGCUGAUCUGGAGUCUGUUCGGGGCUCCGGAGAGGGGAAUCCGUCGCCAUCGUCAUCAUCAACCUUCCUCCAUCACCAAUUUCAUGAUGCUCACCGCCGUGCGUGAGUAAUUCCAUCGUAGGCUUGCUGGACGGUGAUGGGUUGGAUGAGAUUUAUCAUGUAAUCAAGUUAGUUUUGUUAGGGUUUGAUCCCUAGUAUCCACUAUGUUCUGAGAUUGAUGUUGCUAUGACUUUGCUAUGCUUAAUGCUUGUCACUAGGGCCCGAGUGCCAUGAUUUCAGAUCUGAACCUAUUAUGUUUUCAUCAAUAUAUGAGUGUUCUUGAUCCUAUCUUGCAAGUCUAUAGUCACCUACUAUGUGUUAUGAUCCGGCAACCCCGAAGUGACAAUAAUCGGGACCACUCCUGGUGAUGAUCGUAGUUUGAGGAGUUCAUGUAUUCACUAUGUGUUAAUGCUUUGGUCUGGUACUCUAUUAAAAGGAGGCCUUAAUAUCCCUUAGUUUCCGCUAGGACCCUGCUGCCACGGGAGGGUAGGACAAAAGAUGUCAUGCAAGUUCUUUUCCAUAAGCACGUAUGACUAUAUUCGGAAUACAUGCCUACAUUACAUUGAUGAAUUGGAGCUAUUUCUGUGUCACCCUAGAUUAUGACUGUUACAUGAUGAACCGCAUCCGACAUAAUUCUCUAUCACCAAUCCAUUGCCUACGAGCUUUCCAUAUAUUGUUCUUUGCUUAUUUACUUUUCCGUUGCUAUUGCUAUCAUCACUAUAAAACAACAAAAACAUUACUUUUGCUAUCGUUACCUUUUGCUACCGUUACCACUACUAUCAUAUUACUUUGCUACUAAACACUUUGCUGGAGAUAUUAAGUUUCCUGGUGUGGUUGAAUUGACAACUCAGCUGCUAAUACUUGAGAGUAUUCUUUGGCUCCCCUUGUGUCGAAUCAAUAAAUUUGGGUUCAAUACUCUACCCUCGAAAACUGUUGCGAUCCCCUAUACUUGUGGGUUAUCAUUGCUCCUGCAGCGGGUCUUGCACCUAGCGGUGCUUCUAGGACGUAAUUCUUCUGUGUAGCAAUGAGGAUAAUUCUCAAGUUAUGGACCCAGUCCGUGUAGUUGCUACCAUCAUCUUUCAACUUAGCUUUCUCUACGAACGCAUUAAAAUUCAAAGGAACAGUAGCAGGGGCCAUUGAUCUACAAUAACAUAGACAUGCAAAAUACUAUUAGGUGCUAAGUUCAUGAUAAAUUAAAGUUCAAUUAAUCAUAUUACUUAAGAACUCCCACUUAGAUAGACAUCCCUCUAGUCAUCCAAAUGAUCACGUGAUCCAUAUCAACUAAACCAUGUCUGAUCAUCACGUGAGAUGGAGUAGUUUCAAUGGUGAACAUCACUAUGUUGAUCAUAUCUACUAUAUGAUUCACGCUCGACCUUUCGGUCUCAGUGUUCCGAGGCCAUAUCUGCAUAUGCUAGGCUCGUCAAGUUUAACCCGAGUAUUCUGCGUGUGCAAAACUGGCUUGCACCCGUUGUAUGUGAACGUAGAGCUUAUCACACCCGGUUAUCACGUGGUGUCUCGGCACGAUGAACUAUAGCAAUGGUGCAUACUCAGAGAGAACACUUGUACCUUGAAAUUUAGUGAGAGAUCAUCUUAUAAUGCUACCGCCGUACUAAGCAAAAUAAGAUGCAUAAAGGAUAAACAUCACAUGCAAUCAAAAUAAGUGAUAUGAUAUGGCCAUCAUCAUCUUGUGCCUUUGAUCUCCAUCUCCAAAGAACCGUUAUGAUCACCAUCAUCACCGGCUUGACACCUUGAUCUCCAUCGUAGCAUCGUUGUCAUCUCGCCAACUAUUGCUUCUACGACUACCGCUACCGCUUAGUGAUAAAGUAAAGCAAAAACAAGUGUGAUGUCCUCUACUUUGUUGUUGCAAGUUUUACGUGGCUGCUACGGGCUUCUAGCAAGAACCGUUCUUAUCUACGCCUCAAAACCACAACAAUUUUUCGUCAAGUGUGUUGUUUUAACCUUCAACAAGGAUCGGGCGUAGUCAAACUCGAUUCAACUAAAGUUGGAGAAAUAGACACCCACUAGCCACCCGUGUGUGAAGCACCUCGGUAGAACCAGUCUCAUGAACGCGGUCAUGUAAUGUCGGUCUGAGCCACUUCAUCCAACAAUACCGCCAAAUCAAAGUAAGACGUUGCUGGUAAGAAGUAUGACUAUUAUCGUCCACAACUCAUUGUGUUCUACUCAUGCAUAUAACAUCUACGCAUAGACCUGGCCCGGAUGUCACUGUUGGGAAACGUAUUAUUUCAAAAAAAAAUCCUACAAUCACGCAAGAUAUAUCUAGGAGAAGCAUAGCAAUGAGCGGGGAGAGUGUGUCCACGUACCCUCGUAGACCGAAAGCGGAAGCAUUUAGUAACACGGUUGAUGUAGUCGAACGUCUUUGCGAUCCAACCAAUCCAAACACCUAACGUACGGCACCUCCGCAUUCAGCACACGUUCAGCUCGAUGACAUCCCUCGAGCUCUUGAUCUAGUUGAGGCCGAGGGAUAGUUCCGUCAUCGCGAUGGCGUGGCGACGGUGAUGAUGAAGUUACCGGCGCAGGGCUUCGCCUAAGCACUACGACGAUAUGACCGAGGUGUGUAACUGUGGAGGGGGGCACCGCACACGGCUAAGAGAAACUUGUGUCUUUGGGGUGCCCCCUCCCACGUAUAUAAAUGGAGGGAGGAGGCCGGCCCAAGGGGGGGCGCCACAUGUGGGGAGUCCUACUAGGACUCCCUUGUCCUAGUAGGAUUCCCCUCUCCUUUCCUUUUACGGAGGGGGAAAGGGGGGAAGGAGAGGAGGGGAAGAGGGAAAGGGGGGCACGCCCCCUCCCCUUCCUAUUCGGACUCCACUUGGGGGGGACGCGCACGCCUCCCCCUUGUGGGUUGUCCCCUCUUCUCUCCCAUGGCCCAUAAGGCCCAUGAUUUCCCCCAGGGGGUUCCCGUAACCUCCCGGUACUCCGAAAAAAUUCCCGAAUCACUCGGAAUCAUUCCGAUGUUCAAAUGCAACCUUACAAUAUAUGAAUCUUUACCUCUCAACCAUUUUCGUGAUCUCAUCUGGGACUCCGAACAAACUUCAGUCAUCAAAUCACAUAACUCAUAAUACAAAUUGGCAUCGAACGUUAAGUGUGUGGACCCUACGGGUUUGAGAACUAUGUAGACAUGACCGAGACACAUCUCCGGUCAAUAACCAAUAGCGGAACCUAGAUGCUCAUAUUGGCUCCUACAUAUCUACGAAGAUCUUUAUCGGUCAAACCGCAUAACAACAUACGUUGUUCCCUUUGUCAUAUGUAUGUUAUUUGCCCGAGAUUCGCUCGUCGGUAUCCUCAUACCUAGUUCUAUCUCGUUACCGGCAAGUCUCUUUACUUGUUCCAUAAUGCAUCAUCUGGUAACUAACUCAUUAGUCACAUUGCUUGCAAGGCUUAUAGUGAUGUGCAUUACCGAGAGGGCCCAUAUAUACCUCUCUGAUACACGGAGUGACAAAUCCUAAUCUCGAUCUAUGCCAACUCAAGAAACACCAUCGGAGACACCUGUAGAGCAUCUUUAUAAUCACCCAGUUACGUUGUGAUGUUUGAUAGCACACUAAGUGUUCCUCCGGUAUUCGGGAAUUGCAUAAUCUCAUAGUCAUAGGAACAUGUAUAAGUCAUGAAGAAAGCAAUAGCAAUAAAAUUAAACGAUCAUUGUGCUAAGAUAACGGAUGGGUCUUGUCCAUCACAUCAUUCUCUAAUGAUGUGAUCCCGUUCAUCAAAUUACAACACAUGUCUAUGGUUAGGAAACUUAACCAUCUUUGAUUAACGAGCUAGUCUAGUAGAGGCAUACUAGGGACACUCUGUUUGUCUAUGUAUUCACACAUGUACUAAGUUUCCGGUUAAUACAAUUUUAGCAUGAAUAAUAAAGAUUUAUCAUGAUAUAAGGAAAUAUAAAUAACAACUUUAUUAUUGCCUCUAGGGCAUAUUUCCUUCAGGAAGAGCAUUGCGGGUGGGAGGGAGAAGGGGAAUUAAGAGAGUGUAGGUUUCGGUUUGGGCCUCCGCGCGCUAUGUGUACACAUGUGUUGGUGGGUCAAUAGUAGUGGCGCCAGGUUUAUACCCCACACUACUACUAUGGCCUAUCCCGGGGGUACGAUAGAGACCACUUAGUAGUAGCGAGGGAUUUAUACCCCUCGGUACUACUAUCAACUUAGUACUAGUGAGGGAUUUAUACCCCUUGCUACUACUAUCAACUUAGUAGUAGUGAGGGAUUUAUACCCCUCGAUACUACUAUGGCCAGUCCCGGGGGGCACGGUGGAGACCACUUAGUAGUAGUGUGGGGUUUAUACCGCUCGCUACUACUAUCAACUUAGUAGUAGCGUGGGUUCUAUACCCCUCUCUACUAAUAAUUAGCAGCAGUGUGGCCCAUAUACCCCUUGCUACUGUUAAGCAUCUAUCUAUAAAUUAUUUUCUAGUAGUGCAUCAAUGGCGGCGAAAUCAGUCAUUCUGCUUGUUUUCCCUACUAGCUCUCUGACGUCCAGAACAAGUUUACGGUCAUAAGGUGCAAUGCCCUUGCCUUCAUGAGUGACACGAUGACACGGGAACGGGCUUCCAAGCCUAUGGUGUCGCAUCGUGUCGUGGUCUGCUAAACUUAGUGGACGGAUGCUACUCCAAUAUCGGUUGAUCCUAUACUACGGUACCAAGGAAGACACGCAACUACUAUAUAUAUUUCUUCAAGUCAGUCAACACAAGUAAACUCUGGGAGUUCAACUGGUGCAGCUAUGCAAUGCUAAUGGAGACAACACAAUUCAACUUUAGCACUUCACACAUAAGAAAAACCACGUUCAAUGGCACACACCUUAGAGUGUACCUAUGGUGGUUGAAUGGGCUAUAAGAAAUGUGAGUCCAUGUGAAGAUGCCAAACAUAAUAACACGGCUAAUUACACAUGCAGUGGCAGCAGCAACAAGUGCGUGAAUUCAACAAAUGAUCUAGGGUACACAUGCAACGGUGUCCUUGAGUAUGACAACAACCCUUAUCUUCUAGACAAAUGCAUGGUAUGCUACUAAUUUAUUUGCUACAAAUUCCAAUGAAUUGUGUCCUUUGCUUUGUACAUACCCAAUUAUAAUAUUUUAUUAUGCUAAUACAAUGUAGCCUUCAAUUUAAACCAAGGUUUGCAUCCAUUAAUUAUGUUAGGUUCAUAUGACUUCACUACAUAAAUAGGUAGAUAAUGCAUAAGACUGAGAUUGUAGCUAGGGAUGAAAAUCUAAAUACGGCAUGAAUCUAACAAUUAUGAGUAAUGUCUUUGUGACAAGAACUUUCUUUGUCUUUUAUUCCCAUGUUUGAACUAGUAUAGGUCAGGGUUACACAUUAUGGUGCACAUCACUUUAUUUGUCACCGUUACAUUGAACACCCAUUGACUAAACAACGAUAAUCCAUCCGUCUUGUAUUACAGGUCUUCAUUUCAUUGGCCACCGAUGCUUGUAAGACUACUCCCAGAUGGUUGUUGUUGUGGAUAUGGUUGUUGAGGUUGGUGUGGUUGCUGGGGGAAUGGUUGUUGGGGUUGCUGGGAAAUUGUUUGUUCUAGUUGCUGGGAUAAUUGUUGUUGGGGCUGCAAAAAUGGUUGUUGUGGUUGCAGGAUGGAUGGUUGCUGGGGUUGGGGCUGGGGAAAUGAUUGUUGUGAUUGUUGGGGUUGCUGGGAAAAUGGUUGUUGCGGUUGAAGGGGGAAUGGUUGUUGUGGUUAUAGAGGGAAAGGUUGUUGUGGUUGUUGAGGGAAUGGUUGUUGUGGUUGUUGNNNNNNNNNNNNNNNNNNNNNNNNNNNNNNNNNNNNNNNNNNNNNNNNNNNNNNNNNNNNNNNNNNNNNNNNNNNNNNNNNNNNNNNNNNNNNNNNNNNNNNNNNNNNNNNNNNNNNNNNNNNNNNNNNNNNNNNNNNNNNNNNNNNNNNNNNNNNNNNNNNNNNNNNNNNNNNNNNNNNNNNNNNNNNNNNNNNNNNNNNNNNNNNNNNNNNNNNNNNNNNNNNNNNNNNNNNNNNNNNNNNNNNNNNNNNNNNNNNNNNNNNNNNNNNNNNNNNNNNNNNNNNNNNNNNNNNNNNNNNNNNNNNNNNNNNNNNNNNNNNNNNNNNNNNNNNNNNNNNNNNNNNNNNNNNNNGAAUGGUUGGUGGGGAAUUAUUUGUUCUGGUUGCUGGGGAAUUAUUUGUUCUGGUUGCUGGGGGAAUGGUAGUUGGGGUUGGGGAAAUGGUUGUUGGGGUUGCUGGGGGAAUGGCUGUUGUGGUUGCAGAGGGAACGAUUGUUGGGUCUGGGGAAAUGGUUGUUGUGGUUGCCAGGAAAAUGGUUGUUGGGGCUGUGGAAAAGGUUGUUGUGGUUGUUGGGGUUGCUGGGGGAAUGGUUGUUGUGGUUGUAAGGGGGUCGGUUGUUGGGGUUGGGGAUAUAAUUGUUGUGAUUGCUGGAGAAAUUGUUGUUGGGGUGUGGAAAAUGGUUGUUGUGAUGGAUAUGGUUGCUAUGAUGGAUAUGGUUGUUGUGGAUAUGGCUGUUGUGGAAAUGGUUGUUGUUGAUGGGAAAAUGAUUGUUGAGGUGAUUGUAACUCUUUGUUGCUAGGGUUUAGCUGCCUAGCGGCAAUGGCGGUGUUCAUCGCCAUGGCAAGGAGGACAAAGAUGAGGAAGGUCUUCAUGUUGGAUUUGUGGUUACUACUGCUUGCUUGCCUUUGAUGCUUGUGGUCUAGGUGUGUGAAGUUUGGUUGAUGGAAGGUGUCCUUGGUGGUGCAUGUGUAUUUAUAGUUUUCAUGGCAUGGCUUGCUUUCAUCUUUGCACUCGCUCUUUGAAAAAGUGCAUCAAUGCUUAUCCAACUAAUCAUUUGGUUUGUUGUGUUUGGUGCAACUACUUACU
RNAcentral lists this long non-coding RNA (21361 nucleotides) under Triticum aestivum (bread wheat). RNAcentral describes it as "long non-coding RNA (TAES_LNC024411)". Lineage: Eukaryota; Viridiplantae; Streptophyta; Magnoliopsida; Poales; Poaceae. The record is from RNAcentral.